RNAcentral lists this transfer RNA (71 nucleotides) under Candidatus Aenigmarchaeota archaeon ex4484_52. RNAcentral's name for it is "tRNA-Trp". It matches the Rfam family "tRNA". From Rfam's summary of the family: Transfer RNA (tRNA) molecules are approximately 80 nucleotides in length. RNAcentral also lists the same sequence under 1 other name. The record is from RNAcentral. Lineage: Archaea; Nanobdellati; Candidatus Aenigmatarchaeota.
GGGGUUGUGGUGUAAUGGUAGCACAAUAGGCUCCAGACCUAUUAGUCGGGGUUCAAGUCCUCGUAAUCCCA